AUGUAACAGAUGCAGGAAUUUCUCGUGAAUUACAUCACCACCAUUGCAUUUCAGUAUCCGCUGUUAGCAGAUCUGUUAUACGCAGAAAGAGUGACCAGUGGCGAGAGGGAGAAUUUGGAAAGACAGCAUGGCUGGAAGAUAAAGACAGACAAAGAAGUUGCACCCGUCCAAGACAUGCAUGCGCCGAUCAUGUUCUAUGCUAAAGCCAAACCUAGUAUGUUUUCAAAGGAUGUUCUGUCGGGGGAGGCAAAUUUUGGAACCUGAGGUGAGGCUUCUAUUCCGGAGACAUGAUUUCCAGCUAUUUACAUUUUCAUGAGCAUAAUGCCGGUAGAUCGCCUUCACAUUCUGAAGGCAUGAGAAAGCGGAUUCACCUUUCCAGCUCUUCAGGUCUCAUCAUUUUGCUUUUGGGCUGUAUUAUCCCGUUUACAAAACUCAGAUUUUGCGUAACACGACAAUGGAGGAGCACGUUGCAGCUACCGGAGGUGUGACCGUGCAACUGGAAGCAGAUAUCUCGGAGGAGUUUUUGAUUUUGAAUCUCUCGUGGAGAGUACACUCCAGCAACAACAUGAUGGAAUUCAGACAGUCCCAGUGACUGUUCAUGAUGUAUCGAACUCUUCUGAUUUGCCCUUUCUGUUGUAUGGUCAACAACAAUACAACGGGAGUGAGGAUCACUCUUUGUCCCAUGAAACCAACCUUCAAUUAGGUGAUCCGUUUCAGAAGCAUAAGAUGAUAUGCAGGUAUUGUGAGAAGGCGCCUGUAUUUUGUGUAGCAGUUUUCAUCACAUUCUUAUUCUUCAUGGUUGGGCUGCUAUUAGGAGCUGUAUUUUGUGGUGCCACAUUUUAUGUUCUAAAGAUUGGACAGGCUACACUCAGAAUCGAGAAACUAGAAGUUCGAGCAGAAGCUGCUAAUUCCGCUAACGGCUAACUCGCAGUUCAUUGCCACUGCUUCACGAGAAUCUGAACGACCGCAUAUGGUAUCCUUAAUAUCAGCCUGAUUCUACUGGAAAUGUCAUCUCUCUUGCGAUACAUGAUCCAGCCCCUUCCGAACAUCAAAUGCAUUAAUUUUUUCCUACAUGACUGCAGAAAAUCCUGGGCUGCUUCUAAACAUGGAGUCCAGUUCGACCAAAGGGGACUAUGCUUGUAAUCUCUGGCAUGCUGCAAUAUACUGAUAUCCUUGGUCCAUGAGUUGCUGAUGGGAAGAAACUGGAAAACCGCCAAAACCACAGUAACAUUCCUGAUAUUGGAAAUUUGAUCCUUUCAUUGCUGCUAUAUUCCUGCGGUCAGUCUGCUUGGUCCGCUGAAUGACAGAAUAAAAUCAUGCUAGAUGAUCAUUAAGGAAUCAACGUGAAUUUCACGAUUGCGUGCCACGACUUGGAUGAGGACUAUAAUUUUUUAUUUCCUGUUGAUUA
This is a non-coding RNA of Punica granatum (pomegranate), 1408 nucleotides long. NCBI's taxonomy places the organism in Eukaryota, Viridiplantae, Streptophyta, Magnoliopsida, Myrtales, Lythraceae. The record is from RefSeq and is a predicted model, not a curated record.